GACGAACGCUGGCGGCGUGCUUAACACAUGCAAGUCGAGCGAUGAAUUUUCUUCGGAAAUGGAUUAGCGGCGAACGGGUGAGGAACACGUGAAGAAUCUGCCCUCCACUUUGGGAUAACACAGGGAAACCUGUGCUAAUACCGAAUAUUGAAACAUAAGUGGCAUCACUGAGUUUUGAAAGAAUUUCGGUGGAGGAUGACUUCGCGGCCUAUCAGCUAGUUGGUGAGGUAAUGGCUCACCAAGGCAACGACGGGUAACCGGCCUGAGAGGGCGACCGGCCACACUGGGACUGAGACACGGCCCAGACUCCUACGGGAGGCAGCAGUGGGGAAUAUUGGGCAAUGGAGGAAACUCAGACCCAGCGACGCCGCGUGCGGGAUGAAGGCCUUCGGGUUGUAAACCGCUUUCAGUAGGGAAGAAGCGAAAGUGACGGUACCUACAAAAGAAGCACCGGCUAACUAUGUGCCAGCCGCCGCUGUAA
Molecule: ribosomal RNA, 481 nt
Filed under: uncultured bacterium
Lineage: Bacteria
Description: partial 16S ribosomal RNA
Rfam family: Bacterial small subunit ribosomal RNA
Source: RNAcentral